RNAcentral lists this ribosomal RNA (467 nucleotides) under uncultured bacterium. Its description in RNAcentral is "partial 16S ribosomal RNA". It matches the Rfam family "Bacterial small subunit ribosomal RNA", at positions 28 to 507 of the family's 1533-position model. The record is from RNAcentral.
GAUGAACGCUGGCGGCGUGCUUAACACAUGCAAGUCGAACGGAAAGGCCCAAGCUUGCUUGGGUACUCGAGUGGCGAACGGGUGAGUAACACGUGGGUGAUCUGCCCUGCACUUCGGGAUAAGCCUGGGAAACUGGGUCUAAUACCGGAUAGGACCACUUCUUGGAUGUUGUGGUGGAAAGUUUUUUCGGUGUGGGAUGAGCUAGCGGCCUAUCAGCUUGUUGGUGGGGUAAUGGCCUACCAAGGCGUCGACGGGUAGCCGGCCUGAGAGGGUGUACGGCCACAUUGGGACUGAGAUACGGCCCAGACUCCUACGGGAGGCAGCAGUGGGGAAUAUUGCACAAUGGGCGCAAGCCUGAUGCAGCGACGCCGCGUGGGGGAUGACGGCCUUCGGGUUGUAAACUCCUUUCGCUAGGGACGAAGCGUUUUGUGACGGUACCUGGAGAAGAAGCACCGGCUAACUACGUG